CGGCGUGCUUAACACAUGCAAGUCGAACGGAAAGGCCCUGCUUUUGUGGGGUGCUCGAGUGGCGAACGGGUGAGUAACACGUGAGUAACCUGCCCUUGACUUUGGGAUAACUUCAGGAAACUGGGGCUAAUACCGGAUAGGAGCUCCUGCUGCAUGGUGGGGGUUGGAAAGUUUCGGCGGUUGGGGAUGGACUCGCGGCUUAUCAGCUUGUUGGUGGGGUAGUGGCUUACCAAGGCUUUGACGGGUAGCCGGCCUGAGAGGGUGACCGGCCACAUUGGGACUGAGAUACGGCCCAGACUCCUACGGGAGGCAGCAGUGGGGAAUAUUGCACAAUGGGCGGAAGCCUGAUGCAGCAACGCCGCGUGCGGGAUGACGGCCUUCGGGUUGUAAACCGCUUUCGCCUGUGACGAAGCGUGAGUGACGGUAAUGGGUAAAGAAGCACCGGCUAACUACGUGCCAGCAGCCGCGGUGAUACGUAGGGUGCGAGCGUUGUCCGGAUUUAUUGGGCGUAAAGGGCUCGUAGGUGGUUGAUCGCGUCGGAAGUGUAAUCUUGGGGCUUAACCCUGAGCGUGCUUUCGAUACGGGUUGACUUGAGGAAGGUAGGGGAGAAUGGAAUUCCUGGUGGAGCGGUGGAAUGCGCAGAUAUCAGGAGGAACACCAGUGGCGAAGGCGGUUCUCUGGGCCUUUCCUGACGCUGAGGAGCGAAAGCGUGGGGAGCGAACAGGCUUAGAUACCCUGGUAGUCCACGCUGUAAACGGUGGGUACUAGGUGUGGGGUCCAUUCCACGGGUUCCGUGCCGUAGCUAACGCUUUAAGUACCCCGCCUGGGGAGUACGGCCGCAAGGCUAAAACUCAAAGGAAUUGACGGGGCCCCGCACAAGCGGCGGAGCAUGCGGAUUAAUUCGAUGCAACGCGUAGAACCUUACCUGGGUUUGACAUGGAUCGGGAGUGCUCAGAGAUGGGUGUGCCUCUUUUGGGGUCGGUUCACAGGUGGUGCAUGGCUGUCGUCAGCUCGUGUCGUGAGAUGUUGGGUUAAGUCCCGCAACGAGCGCAACCCUUGUUCACUGUUGCCAGCACGUUAUGGUGGGGACUCAGUGGAGACCGCCGGGGUCAACUCGGAGGAAGGUGGGGAUGACGUCAAGUCAUCAUGCCCCUUAUGUCCAGGGCUUCACGCAUGCUACAAUGGCUGGUACAGAGAGUGGCGAGCCUGUGAGGGUGAGCGAAUCUCGGAAAGCCGGUCUCAGUUCGGAUUGGGGUCUGCAACUCGACCUCAUGAAGUCGGAGUCGCUAGUAAUCGCAGAUCAGCAACGCUGCGGUGAAUACGUUCCCGGGGCUUGUACACACCGCCCGUCAAGUCAUGAAAGUUGGUAACACCCGAAGCCGGUGGCCUAACCGUUGUGGGGGAGCCGUCGAAGGUGGGACUGGUGAUUAGGACUAA
RNAcentral lists this ribosomal RNA (1437 nucleotides) under uncultured organism. RNAcentral's name for it is "16S ribosomal RNA". It matches the Rfam family "Bacterial small subunit ribosomal RNA". The record is from RNAcentral.